UAUAUUUGCACACAUUUUACAUAAAAAUUAUUUAAACAAUAUUGGCAUG
Non-coding RNA from Flavobacteriaceae bacterium TMED204, 49 nucleotides. Lineage: Bacteria; Pseudomonadati; Bacteroidota; Flavobacteriia; Flavobacteriales; Flavobacteriaceae. The record is from Rfam.